This 2932-nucleotide ribosomal RNA is filed under the name Escherichia coli. RNAcentral describes it as "bacterial LSU rRNA". It matches the Rfam family "Bacterial large subunit ribosomal RNA". Lineage: Bacteria; Pseudomonadati; Pseudomonadota; Gammaproteobacteria; Enterobacterales; Enterobacteriaceae. The record is from RNAcentral.
GGGUUGUGAGGUUAAGCGACUAAGCGUACACGGUGGAUGCCCUGGCAGUCAGAGGCGAUGAAGGACGUGCUAAUCUGCGAUAAGCGUCGGUAAGGUGAUAUGAACCGUUAUAACCGGCGAUUUCCGAAUGGGGAAACCCAGUGUGAUUCGUCACACUAUCAUUAACUGAAUCCAUAGGUUAAUGAGGCGAACCGGGGGAACUGAAACAUCUAAGUACCCCGAGGAAAAGAAAUCAACCGAGAUUCCCCCAGUAGCGGCGAGCGAACGGGGAGCAGCCCAGAGCCUGAAUCAGUGUGUGUGUUAGUGGAAGCGUCUGGAAAGGCGCGCGAUACAGGGUGACAGCCCCGUACACAAAAAUGCACAUACUGUGAGCUCGAUGAGUAGGGCGGGACACGUGGUAUCCUGUCUGAAUAUGGGGGGACCAUCCUCCAAGGCUAAAUACUCCUGACUGACCGAUAGUGAACCAGUACCGUGAGGGAAAGGCGAAAAGAACCCCGGCGAGGGGAGUGAAAAAGAACCUGAAACCGUGUACGUACAAGCAGUGGGAGCACAGAGCAAUCUGUGUGACUGCGUACCUUUUGUAUAAUGGGUCAGCGACUUAUAUUCUGUAGCAAGGUUAACCGAAUAGGGGAGCCGAAGGGAAACCGAGUCUUAACUGGGCGUUAAGUUGCAGGGUAUAGACCCGAAACCCGGUGAUCUAGCCAUGGGCAGGUUGAAGGUUGGGUAACACUAACUGGAGGACCGAACCGACUAAUGUUGAAAAAUUAGCGGAUGACUUGUGGCUGGGGGUGAAAGGCCAAUCAAACCGGGAGAUAGCUGGUUCUCCCCGAAAGCUAUUUAGGUAGCGCCUCGUGAAUUCAUCUCCGGGGGUAGAGCACUGUUUCGGCAAGGGGGUCAUCCCGACUUACCAACCCGAUGCAAACUGCGAAUACCGGAGAAUGUUAUCACGGGAGACACACGGCGGGUGCUAACGUCCGUCGUGAAGAGGGAAACAACCCAGACCGCCAGCUAAGGUCCCAAAGUCAUGGUUAAGUGGGAAACGAUGUGGGAAGGCCCAGACAGCCAGGAUGUUGGCUUAGAAGCAGCCAUCAUUUAAAGAAAGCGUAAUAGCUCACUGGUCGAGUCGGCCUGCGCGGAAGAUGUAACGGGGCUAAACCAUGCACCGAAGCUGCGGCAGCGACGCUUAUGCGUUGUUGGGUAGGGGAGCGUUCUGUAAGCCUGCGAAGGUGUGCUGUGAGGCAUGCUGGAGGUAUCAGAAGUGCGAAUGCUGACAUAAGUAACGAUAAAGCGGGUGAAAAGCCCGCUCGCCGGAAGACCAAGGGUUCCUGUCCAACGUUAAUCGGGGCAGGGUGAGUCGACCCCUAAGGCGAGGCCGAAAGGCGUAGUCGAUGGGAAACAGGUUAAUAUUCCUGUACUUGGUGUUACUGCGAAGGGGGACGGAGAAGGCUAUGUUGGCCGGGCGACGGUUGUCCCGGUUUAAGCGUGUAGGCUGGUUUUCCAGGCAAAUCCGGAAAAUCAAGGCUGAGGCGUGAUGACGAGGCACUACGGUGCUGAAGCAACAAAUGCCCUGCUUCCAGGAAAAGCCUCUAAGCAUCAGGUAACAUCAAAUCGUACCCCAAACCGACACAGGUGGUCAGGUAGAGAAUACCAAGGCGCUUGAGAGAACUCGGGUGAAGGAACUAGGCAAAAUGGUGCCGUAACUUCGGGAGAAGGCACGCUGAUAUGUAGGUGAAGUCCCUCGCGGAUGGAGCUGAAAUCAGUCGAAGAUACCAGCUGGCUGCAACUGUUUAUUAAAAACACAGCACUGUGCAAACACGAAAGUGGACGUAUACGGUGUGACGCCUGCCCGGUGCCGGAAGGUUAAUUGAUGGGGUUAGCGCAAGCGAAGCUCUUGAUCGAAGCCCCGGUAAACGGCGGCCGUAACUAUAACGGUCCUAAGGUAGCGAAAUUCCUUGUCGGGUAAGUUCCGACCUGCACGAAUGGCGUAAUGAUGGCCAGGCUGUCUCCACCCGAGACUCAGUGAAAUUGAACUCGCUGUGAAGAUGCAGUGUACCCGCGGCAAGACGGAAAGACCCCGUGAACCUUUACUAUAGCUUGACACUGAACAUUGAGCCUUGAUGUGUAGGAUAGGUGGGAGGCUUUGAAGUGUGGACGCCAGUCUGCAUGGAGCCGACCUUGAAAUACCACCCUUUAAUGUUUGAUGUUCUAACGUUGACCCGUAAUCCGGGUUGCGGACAGUGUCUGGUGGGUAGUUUGACUGGGGCGGUCUCCUCCUAAAGAGUAACGGAGGAGCACGAAGGUUGGCUAAUCCUGGUCGGACAUCAGGAGGUUAGUGCAAUGGCAUAAGCCAGCUUGACUGCGAGCGUGACGGCGCGAGCAGGUGCGAAAGCAGGUCAUAGUGAUCCGGUGGUUCUGAAUGGAAGGGCCAUCGCUCAACGGAUAAAAGGUACUCCGGGGAUAACAGGCUGAUACCGCCCAAGAGUUCAUAUCGACGGCGGUGUUUGGCACCUCGAUGUCGGCUCAUCACAUCCUGGGGCUGAAGUAGGUCCCAAGGGUAUGGCUGUUCGCCAUUUAAAGUGGUACGCGAGCUGGGUUUAGAACGUCGUGAGACAGUUCGGUCCCUAUCUGCCGUGGGCGCUGGAGAACUGAGGGGGGCUGCUCCUAGUACGAGAGGACCGGAGUGGACGCAUCACUGGUGUUCGGGUUGUCAUGCCAAUGGCACUGCCCGGUAGCUAAAUGCGGAAGAGAUAAGUGCUGAAAGCAUCUAAGCACGAAACUUGCCCCGAGAUGAGUUCUCCCUGACUCCUUGAGAGUCCUGAAGGAACGUUGAAGACGACGACGUUGAUAGGCCGGAUGUGUAAGCGCAGCGAUGCGUUGAGCUAACCGGUACUAAUGAACCGUGAGGCUUAACCUUACAACGCCGAAGGUGUUU